Molecule: ribosomal RNA, 253 nt
Filed under: uncultured bacterium
Lineage: Bacteria
Description: partial 16S ribosomal RNA
Rfam family: Bacterial small subunit ribosomal RNA
Source: RNAcentral
UACAGAGGGGGCAAGCGUUAUUCGGAAUUACUGGGCGUAAAGGGCUCGUAGGCGGCCAACUAAGUCAGACGUGAAAUCCCUCGGCUCAACCGGGGAACUGCGUCUGAUACUGGAUGGCUUGAAUUCGGGAGAGGGAUGCGGAAUUCCAGGUGUAGCGGUGAAAUGCGUAGAUAUCUGGAGGAACACCGGUGGCGAAGGCGGCAUCCUGGACCGAGAUUGACGCUGAUGCGCGAAAGCCAGGGGAGCAAACGGG